This 927-nucleotide ribosomal RNA is filed under the name Cortinarius sp. PDD 106282. RNAcentral describes it as "partial large subunit ribosomal RNA". It matches the Rfam family "Eukaryotic large subunit ribosomal RNA", at positions 39 to 954 of the family's 3401-position model. Lineage: Eukaryota; Fungi; Basidiomycota; Agaricomycetes; Agaricales; Cortinariaceae. The record is from RNAcentral.
CAUAUCAAUAAGCGGAGGAAAAGAACUACAGGGAUUCCCCUAGUAACUGCGAGUGAAGCGGGAAAAGCUCAAAUUUAAAAUCUGGCAGCCUUUGGUUGUCCGAGUUGUAAUCUAGAGAAGUGUUAUCCGCGCUGGACCGUGUACAAGUCUCCUGGAAUGGAGCGUCAUAGAGGGUGAGAAUCCCGUCUUUGACACGGACUGCCAGGGCUUUGUGAUGCGCUCUCAAAGAGUCGAGUUGUUUGGGAAUGCAGCUCAAAAUGGGUGGUAAAUUCCAUCUAAAGCUAAAUAUUGGCGAGAGACCGAUAGCGAACAAGUACCGUGAGGGAAAGAUGAAAAGAACUUUGGAAAGAGAGUUAAACAGUACGUGAAAUUGCUGAAAGGGAAACGCUUGAAGUCAGUCGCGUUGUCCAGGGAUCAGCCUUGCUUUUGCUUGGUGCACUUUCUGGUUGACGGGUCAGCAUCAAUUUUGACUAUUGGAAAAAGAUUGAGGGAAUGUGGCAUCUUCGGAUGUGUUAUAGCCCUUGGUUGCAUACAAUGGUUGGGAUUGAGGAACUCAGCACGCCGCAAGGCCGGGUUUUUAACCACGUACGUGCUUAGGAUGCUGGCAUAAUGGCUUUAAUCGACCCGUCUUGAAACACGGACCAAGGAGUCUAACAUGCCUGCGAGUGUUUGGGUGGAAAACCCGAGCGCGUAAUGAAAGUGAAAGUUGAGAUCCCUGUCGUGGGGAGCAUCGACGCCCGGACCAGACCUUUUGUGACGGUUCCGCGGUAGAGCAUGUAUGUUGGGACCCGAAAGAUGGUGAACUAUGCCUGAAUAGGGUGAAGCCAGAGGAAACUCUGGUGGAGGCUCGUAGCGAUUCUGACGUGCAAAUCGAUCGUCAAAUUUGGGUAUAGGGGCGAAAGACUAAUCGAACCAUCUAGUAGCUGG